UACGGAGGGGGCUAGCGUUGUUCGGAAUUACUGGGCGUAAAGCGCGCGUAGGCGGCUUUGCAAGUUAGAGGUGAAAGCCCGGAGCUUAACUCCGGAACUGCCUUUAAAACUGCAUCGCUAGAAUCGUGGAGAGGUGAGUGGAAUUCCGAGUGUAGAGGUGAAAUUCGUAGAUAUUGGGAGGAACACCAGUGGCGAAGGCGGCUCACUGGACCGGUACUGACGCUGAUGCGCGAAAGCGUGGGGAGCAAACGGG
RNAcentral lists this ribosomal RNA (253 nucleotides) under uncultured bacterium. RNAcentral's name for it is "partial 16S ribosomal RNA". It matches the Rfam family "Bacterial small subunit ribosomal RNA", at positions 524 to 776 of the family's 1533-position model. The record is from RNAcentral.